Molecule: ribosomal RNA, 252 nt
Filed under: uncultured bacterium
Lineage: Bacteria
Description: partial 16S ribosomal RNA
Rfam family: Bacterial small subunit ribosomal RNA
Source: RNAcentral
UACGUAGGUCCCGAGCGUUGUCCGGAUUUAUUGGGCGUAAAGCGAGCGCAGGUGGUUUAUUAAGUCUGGUGUAAAAGGCAGUGGCUCGACCAUUGUAUGCAUUGGAAACUGGUAGACUUGAGUGCAGGAGAGGAGAGUGGAAUUCCAUGUGUAGCGGUGAAAUGCGUAGAUAUAUGGAGGAACACCGAUGGCGAAAGCGGCUCUCUGGCCUGUAACUGACACUGAGGCUCGAAAGCGUGGGGAGCAAACAGG